GGCCAUGUAAACAGGCUGCACAGGGCUAACUUAUUCCAAUCAAGACAGUGAGGAGAAAAAAAUAAAUCUUGUCUGCAGGAGGGACAUGUGGGAUGGAUCAUAAGCCAGGAGCCAGAGCUGCUCUCUUCCCUCAGUUCCUCUCCUCUGGGCCAGUGAAUUACAGCUGUGCAGAACCUGCAAUCUCCCUGCCUGCAGCUGAAGAGCAGAGAUGAACUUCUUUGCAUCCAUGUGUUGCUAAACACACAGCUUCUACUGGUUUCUGCACAUUUGUGUACUCCAAAUCAAAAUCACAGUGAUCAUUCUGGAAAUGGAAAUAUGAUUGCUGGAUCCACCUCUGAGCCCUGAACUUGUAUCAGGUAUGAAGAAAACUGGAACAAAAAAGAAUCUUCCUGGGUGAGAUUAUUCACAAGGAAACACUAAAUGAAUCAUAGUUUAUGAAAGAGGAAGAACCCUAGAGCAGGUUGAGAUAUAUUAAAGGACGUUCAGAAAGAUAGCAACAUAAAAAAAUCUCCAAGUGAAAGAACUGUCUAGGGACUAAUGAAAAGGAUGCAAUGACAAUACUUAUGACAAUGAUACUAUAUCCCAAGUGUAACAGAUGGCUUAUAUAUAAAAUACAUGGCAUGAGAUAAAAAUAUCUAAACAUAAGAAAUAAUAUUUUUAAAUGAAGAAAGGUAUUUUCACUCAUUAUAUUUUCCAAAUAUUGCUGGUGGGAGCUUCUGACUGCAUGAGUUCACAGAGGUAAUGCAUGCAAAUACUUUAGACAGUUUCACAUUAAAAAGAAUUUACACUGUAUAUGAUUUUGAUAAACCAAAUUAUUAUUGAAUACAUAUUAUACUGCAGAAUCCUAAGAACUCAUAGCAGGUUGCAAGCCUACGUAAAUCAUGUGUUUUUAAGGUUGGAGCUCACCCUCUAUUUUCCCAGUAAGCUAAUCUUGUUUCAUGGCUGAGUUCCUAUGCACUGUGGCAAUACAAAUCAAUAAUAAUUUUCUUAUGUUCUCAUUACUUAAAUGAUAAGCAUACUGCAAAGCUUAAAGGCUUUAAAAUUCUCAGAUAAAAUUUGAUUAAUACACUAAGUUGUUAAAGAAAUUUUACUGUUCUAAAUGCAGAUCAUUGUCAAUGUCUCAACUAUUGGGUACUCAAUGGUAAUGUAAACAGUUACUCUGUAUUACAGAUUAUAAUAAUUAUGGAAUGUUUUACAUUGUAAAGCACUAAAAUAAAGAUUAGCUGAACUUUGAGCACUGAUGCCAUAGGCAAAUGCAUGGGGGAAGCUGAAACUCACAAACAUCACAGGACUUUCUUCCAAAUUUUCUGCUGGGAUAUAGACAUGACUGAACUUGAGUGAUCUGCCAAAGCACACUUCUUUACAAUGCUACAGUUUUACAUUAUCAUACAAUGGUGCAAAUAGUAAAUAUAGCAAACUUUAAAACUUCUGACAGAACAUGCAAAAAAACAGCCCUAUCCUGUCAAUUUGAUUUACAUAUAAUGUAAUAUAUAUUCUACUUCAAAACAAUAUCAUUUUAGAAAUAUAUAUAUUACAUAAUUUCUAUUAAAUAGCUCAUUAAACAAACCCACCAAGAGACAAAGACCAAUUUUUUUUUGUUAAGUU
Dromaius novaehollandiae (emu) is the source of this 1605-nucleotide long non-coding RNA. RefSeq lists it as uncharacterized. The transcript is spliced from 4 exons. The record is from RefSeq and is a predicted model, not a curated record. NCBI's taxonomy places the organism in Eukaryota, Metazoa, Chordata, Aves, Casuariiformes, Dromaiidae.